RNAcentral lists this long non-coding RNA (6894 nucleotides) under Manihot esculenta (cassava). RNAcentral describes it as "long non-coding RNA (MESC_LNC003915)". Lineage: Eukaryota; Viridiplantae; Streptophyta; Magnoliopsida; Malpighiales; Euphorbiaceae. The record is from RNAcentral.
AGAUUGAUUUCCUAUAAUUAUGUUAAAACAUGCUGCCAGACGUGAACAUGAAAUACCUACCGGCAAAUCUCUCGGAAAUUGUAAGUUGGCAGUGUUUAAGAAUUGCAAAACAGACAGCGCAGCAAAAGGUUAAGAAAAAAGAAUAUUACACGCAUGCAUGGCUAAAUGCUUAUAGAAAAGUAUCGAGAGUUCACCAUUGAAAUCGGUCGGGGAAAUUAGAUUUUCCGCAUAAACAACAGCUCUGUACAUGAAAGCUUCGCAAAGUUCUUCACAGAUAUUGAAGGUAUCAACUAGCUUCCCGUCUUGGAUGUUCCACCUCUUCAAUUUCAUCCCAUCCUGCAAUCCUACGACUUCUCUGCUUCUGCACAAGUAGAGUGGCCAAAAAUCGUAAAUACUGCCAUAUUCAGUUUCAAAGACAUUAAGCAGUUUACUCCAUGAUGCCUUGACGCCAUAUUCUUUCAUCGCCCAUAUCUCUACUUUAUCCAUAGAUGGAGAAAACAAUAAACUAAGGCAUCCCCCGAGCUCUCCUAGUACAAGACGGUGAUUUGGAAUACUCUGAGGCAUUGGCAGCUUCUGGAAUUUUUCCUUUGCUAAAUCCAAAGCAAUGAAUUCACUGGAAAUCUCAUAAGGACGCAAGAAAGUUGAUGGAAGUUGGGGUUUUGAGUAAGAAAGCCAAUGGAGGGCUCCAUUCAAAAGAGGGGCAGGUGAAUCACCUAUAUAAUUAACCAAAAUAUAUGUGCUUCCAUAAGGGCAGCACAAGCUUCUCCACGAGCUUGAUUUUGAUGAGAAAAUUUGAAAUAUUGUUCUCUCUUCAAGGGAGACCAAAACAAUCUUAAAACAUUCAGAGGAUGGAUCAUAGCCAAAGCCAUAGGAAUAAUAAGUGAAUGAAUCACUAGGAUAAGGUAUUACCAGAUGGGUACCAGUGCAUGGGUUCCAGAUUACGAGCUUAUGAUCGAAGUUACUGCCUAUACAAACCAGUCCACUGCAUGAGCCAAUCACGUCGACCCCUAACUCAACCUGUUUUAGUACUUUCCUUGGAAUGUUAAGAUUAACGAAUGCACAAGUAUUGCCGAAUGGUGUUUCAUAGUCUAAGGAUUGACACGUACCAGAGACUGAAAAUAAAAGGAUUUUCGGGUUGUUGGAGGCUCGUUUUGCUUGCAGAUUAACAAAACGACUUUCGGAGAUUAAAGAAUACAAUGUUUUGGAAGCACUUUUGAAUCGCACAAGAGAUUUAACAGGCAGUCGUAGAAGGAUAUCUUCAAUGAUCUCUGGAAAAAGAGACAUAUUUAUUAUGGAUGCUUCUGAUGAUGCUGAUGCUGAUGCUGCUGAUGAUGCUCUCUCCCUCCUCUUUUUAUACUCUUAAUUUGCGGUGGCCUUGAGGGUUUCGGAGAACGGGAGAAUUCCAUUUUUGUGCUCUUAAUUUUCGGUCGCCGUAAGGGUCUGGCGGCUAUUCUCAGCUAGGUAUGCGACUUCUGUGUUUUUAUUUCUACGUUUGCAUUUAAUAUAGACCUUAUUUUAUUAUUAAAAUAAAAUUUAUAAAAAUAAAUAUUAAUUAUUCUAAACUAUAUUUUCAAAAAAAUUAUUAUUUAAUUCUUAUUUCAUUGAAAAUUUUAUUAGUUGAUGAUCUGAUUUUAAAAAAUUUACAUUAAACGUACUCAAAACUUUAAAAAAAUUUAUUAAUUAAUAUGUUUUAUUAUUUAAUUUUUAUAAUAUAAAAAAAAUUAUUAAUUAAUAUUUUAAUUUUAUAAAAAUAUAUAUUUUACCGUAUAUAAUUUAUGUUCAUUUUAUUUUUUCAUAAAACUUAAAAAAAUAAUUUUUUAAUUAAUUUUUAUAUUAUAUCCAUUUUAAGAAUAUUAAAUUUGUUAAAUAUUAAAUCGUAUUUUAAGUGAUUUUUUAAAAAUUAAAUAAAAUUAUAAUAUUCAACUUAUAUAUUAUUAUAAUAUGUAAAAAAAUAGAUAAUAAUUUUGAGAUAACCAUUAAAAAAAUAUGAAUAAAAAUUAUAGUACAGAGAAAAUAUUAAUCAGUCUAUUUAUAUUAUAUUAAAGAUAUUUUAAAUUUUUAUAUAAUAUUUAACCACUAAAUUUAAUAAAAAUAAAUUAAUUAGUAAACUAUUUAAAAUAUUAAAAAUAUUAUAUUUUUUAAAAUCGAUUAAUUAAUUAAUUAAUUUUUUAUAUUAUAUUGAUUAAAUAAUACAUAUUUUUUAAAAUUAUAUAUGUAGUGGUGGAUCCAUUAAGAAUAAAGUAAUUUAUUACUUAAGAUUAUUGGAUUUUUUUUAGUUAAUUCACAAUUUUAAAGAAAUAUUUAAAUCUUCAGAAUCAUAACAACUUGGAUUUUAUAAUCCAAACUAGAUUAAUUUCCCUCAUUAGCUAAAAUUUAUUAAUUAAUAAUAAUGGUUCAAAAUCCUUGUCCAUCAAGUGGAUUGCAGCUCACACCAUGCGAGAAGAUUCUAACUAAAUAGGAGAAGUAAAAUAGCUAGGAUUCCUAUUAUACUAUUUAUGAAAAUUUAUAAUAUUAUAAAACUAAAAUUAAAAAACUAAAAUUAAAUUUUUGGUGUUAAACCUGCAUAUUAAAAUGUAUUUUUUUUAUGAAAUAAAGAGACAAAAAAAUUGGAGAGCUUGUAGAAAAGAAAAAGAAAUGUUUAUUUAUUUAUUUAUUUAUUUAUUUUGAUUAACAUGAAAACUGUAAUAAGAUAAUAAAAGGGAGUUUGAUGAUAAUAAAAUAAAUUAGAAUUGAGAAAUUAUAAUUAAAAUUUAUCUCGUAUUAAGAGAAUGUUUGUCUUAACUUAUAACUCAGACAAACAAGAUUAUAAAUUCUAAAAUUAAGUUUGAUCUAUUUUUUAAAAAUUUACAAUUUAAUCUUUUUUUUUUUAAGUAAAACAAUUUAGUUUUUAAAGUUUUAUUCUAAAUAAAAAAUAAUAUUUUUGUUAAAAUUUGUGGUUAAUAUAUAAUAAUUUAUUCAUUCUAAUUUUCACUUAUUAUAACAACUUAGUCCUUAUAGUUUUAGCAUUUGUAACAGUAUAUUCUUUUUUAAUUUGGAUUGGCUUUUCUAGUUUAUAUUUGACUAACAGUGAAUUUAAAUUAAAUAUGGAUUUAAAAAUUUAGUUUUUUAGGUUUUGGGCAUAAAAUAAAAAUUUAAAGGAUUGAAUUACUAAAAUGAUUUUUUUUUUAAAAAAUAAAGGUUCAAUGUCUCACGGACGUGGCUGUGUUUCCUCCUCAUUUCAAAGAAAAAAAACAAGAAAAGAGAAAGGGGAGAGUUAAUUACAAGGGAAGUUCCAUAAAUGAAGAGGAGGAAUAAGAGAAAGAAAAAGGGAGGAAAAGAAUGAAGAAUAAAGAAUAAAGAAAUAUAUAUAUAUAUUUCAUCACUAAAAAUCUACUUAUCUAUACUUUCAUAUUUUCGAUGAGGGUCUAAAAUUCUUUUGUUGCAAAUAAGGACAUUAACUUUUAUUUUUAAAGCAUCGUUAGAAUAAAUAGCUAUCAGUGUUAAGUUUCAUUAAUAUGGCAUGAUGAUAUUAUCUCCAUAUUUGAUAAUGGAGUACUAAUGUGACAUGAUGACAUCAUAUUUUAUAAUGUCAUAUCAUCUUUGUGGAUGAUAUAUCACCACAUCACAUGCCACAUCAUCUUAGAUGAUGAUCUAAAGAGGCAAGAACCCAGAGGACUUUAAGAGGAUUGCUUGUGACCUUUCCCAUAAUCUUUAGAGGCAAGAAGCAGAUAGCUUCACUCCUUAUUCAUCACAGGUAUAUUCCCCUUAAUCCCAAUAUUAAUUUUUAAUUUGUUAUGUUCUAUUGUGCCCGAUGAGGUUCGUGCAAUCUUUUUUUAUAUGAAAAUCUAAAAAGUGCCUACUCCUAAUGGGUACCAGGUAGGUUUCUUUUAAUGUUACUAGAAUUUAAUUGGUGCUUCUAUUAGUUUGGAGGUAAGGAAAAUUGUAAUUGGGAAAUUCAUUGAAGCCUGCUAGAAUAAGACUUUUAUUACUAUUGUACCUAAGAAGCCUAAUCCUUCAGCCUAUUUAUUUGUUCUUUAUUUUUUAUAAGAUUGUUACUGAAGUCCUAUCUAAUAAACUCAGACCUUUUCUCCCUCAUAUUAUAGAGUCUAAUUAGAUCAGUUUUGUUCCUAAUCAUAGAAUUAUUAUAAUAUUAUUUUUGUACAAAAAGUCAUGUAAUCAUAUUGAAAAAGGCAAGAAAGGUUUUUUUGGCUUUUAAAGUGGAUCUAGAGAAAGGUUAUGAUCAUAUCUACUAGGACUUUGCGCAAGAUAAUUUUUUGGAUGUUGGUUUACCCAUUAGUUUUAUUAAUACUAUGACAAAUUGUAUUUCUAGUUCUCUAGCAGGGUAACAAAGUCUUUUUGCUCUAAUAGAGGAUUAAGAUAAAAGGACCCUAUAUCCUUGUACGUAUUCAUUCUCUGCAUGGAAAAGUUAGCUCAUGUCAUUACUAAGGCCGUUUCUGAAGGUAAGUGGGUACCGAUACAACUUAAUAAAGGUAGGCCUAAACUAACUCAUUUGUUUUUUACAAUGAUCUUGUUAUUUUUGCUGAAGCCUUUGCAAGGCAAGCAACUAUCAUUAAUGAUGUUUUGAAAUGUUUCUAUGAGAGCUCCAGUAAGAAGGCCAAUAAAGCCAAAUCUCGUGUUUUCGUCUCCAGCAAUGUUGACAAUAUGGCAAGAAAGAGUAUUAGUAGCAAUUUAGGUGUGCAAGUUACCGAUAACCUAAGAAAGUACUUAGGAGUGUCACUCAUUCAUAGUAGGAUGAACAAGCAGAACUUUCAGUUUUGAUAAAAUUAGUAAUAAGCUUUCCAAUAUGGAAAAAUAGUAUGCUAGCUCUAGCAAGUCACAUCACUUUAGCCCAAUCCGUAUUAGCAUCUAUCCCAAUAUAUGCGAUGCAAUCUACUUUAAUAAGUUUAACGAUAAACAAUUAUAAUUGUUAAUGAUAAUUAACGAUUAAUUUUUAACUUAUAACAAGAAAUUAUUCUUUCAUUAAAAAGCAUUUUUCUUAUAAUGAAGGUAAAAGAUGAUCAAGAAUAGUUAUUAGUUCUUUGUACGAUUUAAUUUUUAAAAUCAUAUAAGGUUUAAAACUUUCUAGAUCUAUAAAGAUACAAUUUCUAUAUAUAAAUAUAUAUUUUAUAUCAAUAAAGAACAUAAAUUUUUCGCCCUUUUUUUUUUUGAAUUCAACUAAAAAAGCAUGUUCUUUGGAUGCCUCAAAUUUAAGAUAUAGAAUAUUAAAAUUAAUUUCAUUUUAUUAUAAAUCUUUUUGGUUUAUUUAAAAUGUCAAAAAUAAAAAUUUAAUUUUUUUGAAUGAGUUGAUAGUAAGGAAUUAAAAUGGAUGAAGGAGUUAAUUCAUAAAAUAAUCAAAGAGAUAAAAAUACUUAAAAAUUAAAAAAAUAGAGUUGAGGAAGAUGUAAUAAAGGCUUUUACUUUUCUGGAUGAAGUAAAUUCAGUGAACUAGAAACUGAAUAAAUUGAAGAAAGUGAAAGAAAUUAUUGUCAAAUCAUUGGAACUUCUAUGAUUUAUGGAUUUGUAUGCAUAAAUAAUUUAGAUGAAAGUUUAUAUUUUAGGAAUUUUAACUACUACAAAGUUAAUGUAUACAAACUUGGCACCGUUUAUAUAAAAUGGAUAUUUAUAUUUUGAUUUAAAAACCUAGUAAAUUAAUUUAUAAGAUUUAAAAGUAAUUUUAUUUAUUUGUUUAAAAUAUUUUUAAAACUUAUAAGACAAAUAUAAAAACUUAAAAAAAAAAUUGAAAAACUAAUUUGUCAUUUAGCUUAUAAGAUAGUUUGACAAUAUAUGGUUUAUUAUAACUCCCAUAUUAGUUAAUGAGUCAUAGGGAAGAAUGUAUAUUAUCAUGUUUUAAUCUUUUAUAAUAAUGUUAUUUGGAAUCUUAUAUAAAAUUAAUUUAUACUGACCGUAAAAUUUUUGUUUUUUUUUAUACUAGGAGAUGUUUUAUAUGAAUACAAUUAAUUUAUACUGAUCGUAAAAAUUUUUUAAUUGCGAUAUUAAAUAAUUUGGGUUGAAUCGAAUUAUUAUAAUUGAUAGUAAAGUCAUAAAUUAAAAAAAUUAUGCAGAAAAUUGUAUAUAAUUAGUGGUCCUAUAAAAAAAAAAUUGCUAUAAUGAUAUGAGGAGUCGCCCAAGACACUAGCCAACCACAGUACUCGAUGGUCCAUCGUAAGCAUUAAAAACAAUAACAUAAUAGCGUUAAAGAAUAAAAUAUGUUUCAAAAUAUACCAUCAUUUAUCGAAUACCUGUCAAAUAAGGAAAAAUAAAGUAAAAGCAAAAAGAUAUAAUAUUUGAGCCAUGUGUAGAGGGCAACAGGAUGCCAAGUCUUGUGCUGAAAUAUUCCAAAAUCUCCUAGAGCAUAACCUUAAUUCAUCUCUGUAACACAGCAAUAUACAGAAAUGUCAAACUCUAAAAUUGGCUAUGUUAGCAUGAUUAUAGUAAUUCAAUCUUUGCAUAAUUCUAGGAGAUUUAUUUAAUAUAAAUAUAGUGUUAUCAUGAUUAUAGGAAAUUAAUCUUAGUAUAAUGAUAAUGAUUAUUAUACUAAAUAAAUCUCUUAUAAUCAUGCAAAAGAUUAUUAUGCUAAAUAAAUCUCUUAUAAUCAUACAAAGAUUGAUUUCCUAUAAUUAUGUUAAAACAUGAUACCAGACAUGCCUACCGGCAAAUCUCUCAGAAAUAACACACAUUGUAAGUUGGCAGUGUUUAAGAAUUGCAAAACAGAACAGCGCAGCAAAAGGUUAAGAAAAAAGAAUAUUACACGCAUGCAUGGCUAAAUGCUUAUAGAGAAGUAUCGAGAGUUCACCAUUGAAAUCGGUCGGGGAAAUUAGAUUUUCCGCAUAAACAACAGCUCUGUAAAUGAAAGCUUCGCAAAAUUCUUCACAGAUAUUGAAGGUAUCAACUAGCUUCCCGUCUUGGAUGUUCCAC